UACAGAGGGUGCAAGCGUUAAUCGGAUUUACUGGGCGUAAAGCGCGCGUAGGCGGCUAAUUAAGUCAAAUGUGAAAUCCCCGAGCUUAACUUGGGAAUUGCAUUCGAUACUGGUUAGCUAGAGUGUGGGAGAGGAUGGUAGAAUUCCAGGUGUAGCGGUGAAAUGCGUAGAGAUCUGGAGGAAUACCGAUGGCGAAGGCAGCCAUCCGGCCUAACACUGACGCUGAGGUGCGAAAGCAUUGGGAGCAAACAGG
Molecule: ribosomal RNA, 253 nt
Filed under: uncultured bacterium
Lineage: Bacteria
Description: partial 16S ribosomal RNA
Rfam family: Bacterial small subunit ribosomal RNA
Source: RNAcentral